Molecule: ribosomal RNA, 3304 nt
Filed under: Fusarium verticillioides
Lineage: Eukaryota; Fungi; Ascomycota; Sordariomycetes; Hypocreales; Nectriaceae
Also listed under: 1 other name
Description: large subunit ribosomal RNA
Rfam family: Bacterial large subunit ribosomal RNA
Source: RNAcentral
AGCUAUAUAUUAAAGAGAUUUAUUUAUAUAAAUAGGUUUGCAAGCUGAUUGUGUAUAUACGCAGGCCAAUGCUUCUAAUUUCAUAGCAAGCUCGCUUGCUAUGAAAUAGGCAACCAGUAAUAUAAGCAAGUGUGUGCUAUUUAUAGCGCUAGCCUACAAACCUAUAAUUAUAUUAACUCUAAGAGAAAUUUAAUAAUAAACGAAGUGAAUUGAAAUAUCUUAGUAACUUUAGGAAAAGAAAUCAAAAGAGAUUCUAUGAUUAGCGUGAGCUAAAAUAGACUAGCCUAAAAAGUCAAAUGGUGGAUAAACUGUUUAAAUUAAAUGGGGAACCUUCCUCAAAGGCUAAAUAUAAUAUAUAAGCGAUAGUGGAAAGUACCGUGAGGGAACCAAAACAAAAACAGUGAUUUUAUAAGCAGUUCGGGAAAAUAAAAAAAAGUUAGAACGUACCUUUUGCAUAAUGGGUCACCAAGUUAACAUUAGAUGCGAGUAGGAGGCUUUGCCCGUGCAUACGUAGUUAAACCGAGCGUUAAAAUAACGGUAAGUAUCUAAAGUUAGACCCGAAGCCUGGUGAUUUUACCAUAAUCAGGAUUAUAAAAGUCCGAACGGAAUAUUGUAGCAUAAAUAUCCGAAGAAUUAUGGUAGGUGUAGUGAAAGACAAUACUGACCAGGAUAGCUGGUUUUCUGCGAAACCUAUAACAGUAGGCAAUUUAAGUAUAAUAUCUUAGCAGGUACAGAAUUUAAUCUCAGACAAGACAUAAGGCUUAGCUUGCUAGCAAGUAAAGCUCAUGUUUUAUUUUGUACAAAUUGGGGGAUCAUGAAGAUUUUAUCAGUGAGUAUGUAGACUCGGAAUGGCAAAGAUAUAUCUUAAAUCAUCAGACAUAGAAUGAUAAGGUUGUAUGUCAAAAGGGAAACAGCCCAGAACAAGAGUUAAGGUUCCUAAAUUAUUAGUUGAGUGAAAUUAAGAAGGUUUUUAUUAAAGUCGACAAGGAGAUAGGCUUAGAAGCAGCCAUAAUUUUAUGACCUCGUAACAGAGCGCUUGUUAAGUUUUAAAAGCAUCGAAAAUUUAUCGGAUCUAAACAAUAUACCGAAACCUUGUCCAUAUUAUUUUAUAAUUAAAGCUUAAUUAUAAUUAAAUGGGGUAGCAGAACGUUGAGCUAAAUUAAGAUUUUUAUUUUUUAAAUGAAAUUAUAAUAAUUUAACUCAAGUGAUAAUGGUGACAUGAGUAACUAAAAGAAAAAAUAAAAUUUUUCCGCCUAAAGCUUAUGGAUGUAAUUAAGUAACGGCCUCUAAGUUUAUAUUAUCUAAAGAUUUAAACGAUGAGAUAAUCUUUUGUACUAAGGACGACAUUUUAAGUGAAAAAUGUACUGGAAAAAUAGUACUAAAUUAAUGGCUAUAGCUAAUUAGUUAGCUAUAGCUAUAAAUGAAAAGUAACCGUACCUAGAAUCUGAAACAAGUAAGCUAGUAGAGAAUACGAAGGCGUAAAUGAGCUAACAAUCAUAAAGGAACUCGGCAAAUUGACUACCGUAACUUCGGGAUAAGGAGAGCUCAUUAUUCUUGAUUAAUAUCAGGUAAAGAGGAAGAAGCAUGAAAUAGUGUUGUACGACUGUUUAAUUAAAACACAGCACUUUGCUGAAAGAUUAAAAAUCUAAGUAUAGAGUGUGAUGUCUGCCCGGUGCCGGCUGGUUAACAGAUAUAAUUAAAUAUACUAAUAUUUGAUGUAGACGGAAACCCCGGUUAAAGGCGGCCUUAACGUGAGGGUCCUAAGGUAGCGAAAUGCCUUGGCCGUUAAAUGCGGUCUUGCAUGAAUGAUGUAACGAUACAACAGCUGUCUCUAUGAUUGACUCAGUGAAAUUGGAAUAGCUGUGCAGAUACAGUUUACCUCUAGUUAGACGAGAAGACCCUAUGCAGCUUUACUGUCACUAAUUAUAGAGUAUGAUAAACAAUUUUCAGAUUAUAAGGUAAUUGACGGCUAGCUUGUUCAUCAAGCUAGCUCUAUGACAAUGAGAAUCCUUUAUUUUUUUUUCAUAUGAAUGAAUUGGUUUAGGAUUAUGAGUAGGUAGCUGCUUCUGCUACUUGGCGCAAGCAUUGCUUGCGUCAGGUGUCUGAAGUAUGCAUUCCAGCUCAUGCAUAGUAAAUCAACCUAAUUCAGCUUAUUUUCCUUUCUGCCAUAAGCGCAUAAUGAUAGAUUUAACUUAAAUUUUGAUUUAUGCCAGCUGCAGAAAUAGAUAAGUACCCUUGGCUAAGGAACUAUCGCUAGGGGACAGUUUAUGUGGGGCACAGACCCUGUAAAGAGUAAACAGGAGUGUCUAAUAAUUUAUAAUUAUUUUGUUUGCGAUUUAAGAUAGUGAAACUAUUUUUAAUCAUAUAAAAUUAUUUAUAUGUACAUUCGUUGUAUAUAUAUUUAAAAAAAGGUAGGAUUUUCACUAUAUAGAAAUUAGAGAUAAUAAAAAUAUUAAGAAUAUACGAAGGUAGCACUAAUAUUUUUUAGCUAUUAAGACAGGCUAUCAAGCUAGGCUCUAAUAGUUAUGUAUUAAUUAUCUAAAAAGCUCAACGGCUAAAUCUUGCCUUACUGUUUGAUUAUCAACAAAUCUUACAGUUGCGUAAGCAGGGCAUAGGAUCACAAGAUGCAACAAGGAAAGAUCUUGGAUUAUUGGAAAAGCUACGCUAGGGAUAACAGGCUAAUUUGCGCAAGAGUGUACAAAAUGAGUGCGCGGUUUGGCACCUCGAUGUCGGCUUAACUUAUCCUCAUGGAUGCAGGAACUAUGUAGGGUGCGACUGUUCGUCGAUUAAAAAGUUACAUGAGCUGGGUUAAAUACGUCGUGAGACAGUAUGGUUUCUAUCUUCUAGGGGGAAUUAGAAUAUAAUAAGAACUAACUUUUGUACGAAAGGAACAAGAAGAAUUUAAUUUGUAAAAGGGUUAAAUAAUAGUUACUAACCUAUGGUUUACCUGUUGUCUAUGUGCCCAAAUAUUAAAAUAUAUAUGGAGGAAGCUCCUUAAGAGCUUCCCCCGCAAAUUAUAUAUAUCUGUAUAGCUAGCCUGCGGACUCCGGUUAUGCCAGAGUUUGGUAAGCUAAAGCUAUACAUAGGGAUGUUUCUUUCACUAAGAUAAAUAUAUAGCAUAGGCACGGCAGGAAAGCUAAGUUGGUUAAGGAUAAGUGCUGAAAGCAUAUAGGCACGAAGCUUAUCUUAAGAUAUUUCUUAAAUAUACGUAAAAUAUUAUUACGAAGGAUGUAAUAUAGGCUUUAUCCGUACGAAUCAGGAGAUUUUUAAGAAUAAAGUACUAAUUUUAUAAAUAACUAUUUAU